GAUGAACGCUGGCGGCGUGCCUAACACAUGCAAGUCGAGCGAUUUACUUCGGUAAAGAGCGGCGGACGGGUGAGUAACGCGUGGGUAACCUGCCCUGUACACACGGAUAACAUACCGAAAGGUAUGCUAAUACGAGAUAAUAUGCUUUCAUCGCAUGGUAGAAGUAUCAAAGCUCUGGCGGUACAGGAUGGACCCGCGUCUGAUUAGCUAGUUGGUAAGGUAACGGCUUACCAAGGCGACGAUCAGUAGCCGACCUGAGAGGGUGAUCGGCCACAUUGGAACUGAGACACGGUCCAAACUCCUACGGGAGGCAGCAGUGGGGAAUAUUGCACAAUGGGCGAAAGCCUGAUGCAGCAACGCCGCGUGAGCGAUGAAGGCCUUCGGGUCGUAAAGCUCUGUCCUCAAGGAAGAUAAUGACGGUACUUGAGGAGGAAGCCCCGGCUAACUACGUGCCAGCAGCCGCCGUAA
Molecule: ribosomal RNA, 468 nt
Filed under: uncultured bacterium
Lineage: Bacteria
Description: partial 16S ribosomal RNA
Rfam family: Bacterial small subunit ribosomal RNA
Source: RNAcentral